RNAcentral lists this non-coding RNA (178 nucleotides) under Gemmatimonas sp. The record is from RNAcentral. Lineage: Bacteria; Pseudomonadati; Gemmatimonadota; Gemmatimonadia; Gemmatimonadales; Gemmatimonadaceae.
AUUGGUGAUGUAGCACUCGGUACUCUGUUUCACGCGAGCGGAAGUACGGAAGCCGGUGUGAAUCCGGCGCGGCCCCGCCACUGUGAGGGGUAGUUGGUCGACUCAAGCGCCACUGGGCAACCGGGAAGGCGAGCCGACGACCCGAGCCAGGAGACGUAACCCGCUUUGCACCACCGAA